GAUGAACGCUGGCUGUGUGCUUAACACAUGCAAGUCGACUGGAAUUUUUCUUCGGAGAAUAGUACGGUGGCGGACGGGUGAGUAACGCGUAAAGAAUUUGCCCUUCAGACUGGGACAACUAACCGAAAGGUUAGCUAAUACCGGAUAUUAUGAGACCUUGGCAUCAAGGACUUAUGAAAGCUAUAUGCGCUGGAGGAGAACUUUGCGUCCCAUUAGGUAGUUGGUAGGGUAAUGGCCUACCAAGCCGACGAUGGGUAGCCGGCCUGAGAGGGUGAACGGCCACAAGGGGACUGAGACACGGCCCUUACUCCUACGGGAGGCAGCAGUGGGGAAUAUUGGACAAUGGACCAAAAGUCUGAUCCAGCAAUUCUGUGUGCACGAUGAAGGUCUUCGGAUUGUAAAGUGCUUUCAGGUGGGAAGAAGAAAGUGACGGUACCACCAGAAGAAGCGACGGCUAAAUACGUGCCAGCAGCCGCCGUAAC
This 482-nucleotide ribosomal RNA is filed under the name uncultured bacterium. Its description in RNAcentral is "bacterial SSU rRNA". It matches the Rfam family "Bacterial small subunit ribosomal RNA", at positions 28 to 524 of the family's 1533-position model. The record is from RNAcentral.